Molecule: long non-coding RNA, 475 nt
Organism: Rhinichthys klamathensis goyatoka
Lineage: Eukaryota; Metazoa; Chordata; Actinopteri; Cypriniformes; Leuciscidae
Exons: 2
Source: RefSeq, a predicted model, not a curated record
AGAUCACAUACAGGAUUUACAGUUAAAGAGUUACAGACUUAUAGUAGACUAUGUGGAUUGUCAGUAUCACAUUGCGAGAGCAUGUCAAAGGUCUUAAAGAGUGUUUAAACUUUCAACAAAAAGUCAUAAUUUAGUUUUGCAUGACUUUUAGAAAUAGAGUGCUUAAGGGAUGGCGUUAUUUUGCAGGCCAGCCCAGAAGUUAGUAUCACAUUGGUUCCCUUAACAAAAAGCCAAUAGAAUUUUUACCACUGGCUUUUGGAUUAUUGCAGAAAAUAACUUGUUUUUGAGUUUUAAACUCAUUCCUGCAGCACUAUAAAUAUUGCCUUUUUGCUGCUGUACCUUUGUAUAUCUACAUAACUGUCUUUCUAUGUGACAUGAGCAACAAGUUUCAGUGUUAUUUAUUUUCAACUCUUUACCCACCAGAUUUUUUUUUUAAAGUUGCCAGCCUUUGAUAAAAAAAAUAAAAUAAAAACAA